Molecule: RNA transcript, 2984 nt
Organism: Dermacentor andersoni
Lineage: Eukaryota; Metazoa; Arthropoda; Arachnida; Ixodida; Ixodidae
Gene name: segment polarity protein dishevelled homolog DVL-3-like
Source: RefSeq, a predicted model, not a curated record
UUUUGUCCGUGAAGCGACUCCCUGGUGGACGCCGCUGCAAGCCUGCAAGUGACAGACUUCCGCUGUCUCGGAUGCACGGGAGCGCCGUGUUGAUUAUUUAUGUUGGAUGCACACUGCGGUCGCAUUCUGAAUCAUAGCGCAGUUAUUUAAGAAACUGAGUGAAACACGCGAGCUGCUCCAUCAGAGUUUCAAUUUACGUUCUCCCCUCGCUCAUCGGUGACCCGGACGCUGGGAGAUCUCGGCAGGGGAUUUGCCGAAGCCCGUGGUGGUGCUCUGCUGCUGAGCUUGUUUGCUCUCCGGCUACUCUCGGUUAGGAGAACGGACGCGAUUCCGUAUGCGUGCUCCGCUUGACAGCUGAUGUUGGACAAAAGGGCGACCGUGCCUUCCGUGACGCGCGGCCGCCGCAAAGGUGUGGCCAGUGUGAUGGAGGCUGUCGUGCAGGUCGGCGGCGGCGGAGUUGUGGGGUCCUCACACUAAGGCUUAUCGCCAUAUUGGUGUGCAGCUUUUCUGAGAUGCCACUUUAGCGCAUCGCGCGAUGGAAGAAACCAAGAUCAUCUAUCACAUCGACGACGAGGAGACUCCCUACCUCGUCAAGGUGCCCGUGCCGCCGGAGCGCGUGACGCUCGCGGACUUCAAGAAUGUCCUCAACAGGCCCAACUUCAAGUUCUUCUUCAAGUCGAUGGACGAUGAUUUCGGAGUGGUCAAAGAAGAAAUUGUAGAGGAUGACUGCCGGUUGCCUUGUUUCAAUGGCCGUGUGGUGUCGUGGCUUGUGUCAGCAGAUGGAAGCAGCGUGGUGUCUGAAGGAACUGAGACGCACCGGCAACGCCCCUUUCCUGAAACAGCAGAGACCAGCUUUACAGAGUCUGAGUCUGCCAUUAGUUCCCACAAAGAGCAUCACCACCAUCAUCAACGGGGACCUGGCCGUCAUCGAGAUAAAGCCGGUCGUUCCAAUGGACAUGCAGCAGCUAAGCCAGGGGCUGCCUCGGUGCUAACUACCAGUGACAUAGAGACCACAAGCUUCCUAGAUUCUGAGGAUGAGACUACCAGCCGGAUUUCAACCACCACUGAGGAGAGUAGCGUGUCACGCAUUUAUGCGAGGCAUCGGCGUAGGCGGCGAAAGAAGAUGCCACCCAUGAGUCGGACAUCUUCGAUCAGCAGCAUCACAGACAGCACUCUGUCACUAAACAUCAUCACCGUCACAUUAAACUUAGAUACGGUCAACUUUCUUGGCAUUAGCAUAGUGGGCCAAUCGAACAAAGGUGGAGAUGGUGGCAUCUACGUGGGCUCCAUCAUGAAAGGGGGUGCUGUUGCUUUGGAUGGUCGCAUUGAGCCAGGUGACAUGAUCCUUCAAGUGAAUGAUAUCAACUUCGAGAACAUGAGCAACGAUGAUGCUGUGCGAGUGCUCCGGGAGACUGUACAAAAGCCUGGUCCCAUUAAGUUGGUGGUAGCCAAGUGCUGGGACCCGAACCCCAAGGGCUACUUCACCAUCCCACGCACCGAGCCCGUGCGCCCCAUCGACCCAGGAGCUUGGGUGGCACACACGGAGGCAGCACGCGGCUCUUCAUCUGCUGUGGGCCACUCGCGGCUUUCGCUGGCCCCAGGACCUUCACUCCGCCAACCGCUACUCUAUGAUGGACCCUUGAGGCCUCCGUCUGUCUCCACCCUCACCUCCACUUCCUCAUCAGUCACUUCAUCCGUGCCCGAGUCGGAGAGGCAGCUACAGGAGCCACUACUGACUGUGGAGACGGACAUGGAGACAAUUGUAAAGGCUAUGGCAGCUCCCGAUUCAGGACUGGACGUCAGAGACCGCAUGUGGCUCAAGAUCACCAUACCAAAGGCCUUUAUAGGCGUGGACGUGGUAGACUGGCUUACAACACAUGUUCAAGGCUUCCAAGACCGCAAGGAAGCCAAGAAGUACGCUAACCAGCUACUCAAAGCGGGCCUCAUUCGGCACACUGUCAACAAACUUUCCUUCUCUGAGCAGUGCUACUAUGUGUUCAGCGACCUCUCCCUUGACAUGUGCUCGCUGCGGCUGCAAGAAGAGGACGAGGAAGGUGGGGCAGGGGGCAUGGUGCCCCCCUGGGGUUGCCUGGGUCCCCUGCUUCCAGCAGGGUACGUGUGCGGUAGCACGGCUGCACCAAGUGCUGCGGAGACACAGCUGGCCUCUUAUGUCAACUAUGCCCGUGAGGGGAGCACCCAUUCAGGAUCCGGGGGCAGUGGCGGACCACCCGCAGAGUCUAGCCGCAGCGUGGACGGUGCCGAGGGCUCUCAAGAACUGACCGGUAGUAGGCAGUCCUUCCGCAUGGCCAUGGGCAACCCCUGCGAGCUCUUUGUGGACGUCAUGUGACACAUGCAUGAGCAUGCCACUAUGCAGGGGCCCCACACCAUUGAAGCAAAGUGGACAAGCUCCGUGAGGUGGAAGAGGAUGGCUUGGAGUAUCAGUACUCAGACAAAGGCUUGGUCUAACGCCUUAGCCUUCAUGAUGGAGCCAGAGGCAGCACUAGAUCAUCACAGGACUUCAACAUAAACUUGACACUGCUUCCAGCCAACACGCGUUUUGAGCCCAAUGAACCUCCUGUGCUGCAGUGUGCUUUUCACACUUCGCAGUAAAACCCGAACAAUUUUUUUUAUAGAGCCCUGCAGGCUUGCAAGUGGUUGUGGCAAAUCAACACUGGACAAUGGUGUGACGCUGCAGCAGAUUGUAUGUGCGCCUGCGACAGUUGCACUGCAGGCAAUGCUGCAGCAGUGUGCUCUUUUCAGUGUGCUAUACCAAGGCCAACUAAGUGUGCAUGACGUGUGUGGUAGCUAUGCGAGGACAUUCCCACUGGCGCACUACUAUCCCAUCGUAAUGUGUUUGUUGACCAAUGUCUGAUGUGUGUUCAUUUGGAUGACUGCAGGCCAACAAUUUUAGCGUGCUUGUUUUUAUUGAGUGACCUCUACACUGUGCGUGUCACAAACCAUGAAUAAAAGGUUACUAUAUAGCA